GGCCCAGCCUUUUUUCGCCAUCGACACGGGAACGGGUUUAACAUCCCCGUGGUGCGUAGGUGGUACUGCGUCUCCACAACAUUAAAUAAUUCGAGGUCACCUGGGGAAUUCCGGAAGCUUGCAUGUAAAUUUUACUGAAAACCCGUCAACAGGCAGAGAGCAUGGGAGCUGUACUUUGCAUUUUUAUUGAUCAAGAGGCACUGUCACCUCCAGUGUGACAAUUCUUUAUGGCUCAGGCUGCUGUUCCUCGUGCCGCGAACUCCUACUGUGUCUCCAGCAGAGAGCGACGUCAGUGUUCCAAAUACGCAAGGUUCAGGCAAAGAACGGUGCGUAACGGCGCUGCUACCAUUUCGAAAAAGUAAUCAUUUCCCCCGUGUCUGGAAGCCCUCUUGCCGUUCAGUGUCGGCGUCCAUGUGAGGUGUGCCGUCUCUCCGUUUUAGACGUGUUUAGACGUGUUGCGCCACAACGCCACGCGGCUGCCACUACUGAUGUUGACCAGAUGCUGAUGUACCCCGCUUGUUCUGAUACGCCCGUGCUUCUGUCUCCUCUAGAGGGGAAGAAGCGUUCAGUAUCCUAACACGUCAUUUUUUCCAGUGACAUCGCUGUGGCUCACAAAAACACCGCUUGCUGAAGAUAACGUACACGUUUUUGCGUUUUUCGUAAUUUUUUGGAGGGGCGGAUGGCGGUAAGAAGGGGGGGGAGAGAUCCACCAACAGCCAUGAGGUAUCGACGCCGAUUGGAUUCACUGCUGCCCGUAAUAGCAUCCUGCAGUAUGAGCUGCUGUCUGCGUUUCUGUGUGCAUGUUUCGAGGACAGAGGCUACUCGAGGCACGAGCACCUUCCUCAGUGCACU
This 852-nucleotide long non-coding RNA is filed under the name Toxoplasma gondii VEG. The record is from RNAcentral. Lineage: Eukaryota; Apicomplexa; Conoidasida; Eucoccidiorida; Sarcocystidae.